This 206-nucleotide long non-coding RNA is filed under the name Rosa chinensis. RNAcentral's name for it is "sRNA RchiOBHm_Chr6g0280301". The record is from RNAcentral. Lineage: Eukaryota; Viridiplantae; Streptophyta; Magnoliopsida; Rosales; Rosaceae.
UUAGUUGGUAUAAAUGUAGCAGUUGACACCAAAGCAGAGGAGACCGUGAUGAAGGAAAAGAUGUGGCUUCAAAAUUGUUGACUGAGGACUGCAUGGCAUGUGUUGAUCUUCUUGAAGUCAUGCUGGUGGAACAUUUGCAGAGAAGUAGAAGAAAGAAGAGAGGAGCAGCAAGAGCAGGCAUAUUACAUCAGUGGUGGCAGAAGUAG